This 253-nucleotide ribosomal RNA is filed under the name uncultured bacterium. Its description in RNAcentral is "partial 16S ribosomal RNA". It matches the Rfam family "Bacterial small subunit ribosomal RNA", at positions 524 to 776 of the family's 1533-position model. The record is from RNAcentral.
UACGUAGGUCGCAAGCGUAGUCCGGAUUUACUGGGCGUAAAGAGCGCGCAGGCGGCUGGUCAAGUCCGAUGUGAAAUCUCCCGGCUUAACUGGGAAACUGCAUCGGAAACUGAUCGGCUUGAAGGUGGGAGAGGGUAGUGGAAUUCCCAGUGUAGCGGUGAAAUGCGUAGAUAUCGGGAGGAACACCAGUGGCGAAGGCGACUUCCUGGCCUGUUCUUGACGCUGAGGCGCGAAAGCUAGGGGAGCAAACGGG